This 301-nucleotide ribosomal RNA is filed under the name uncultured bacterium. RNAcentral's name for it is "partial 16S ribosomal RNA". It matches the Rfam family "Bacterial small subunit ribosomal RNA", at positions 509 to 807 of the family's 1533-position model. The record is from RNAcentral.
CAGCCGCCGCGGUAAUACGAAGGGUGCAAGCGUUACUCGGAAUUACUGGGCGUAAAGCGUGCGUAGGUGGUGGUUUAAGUCCGUUGUGAAAGCCCUGUGCUCAACCUGGGAAUUGCAGUGGAUACUGGGUCACUAGAGUGUGGUAGAGGAUAGUGGAAUUUCCGGUGUAGCAGUGAAAUGCGUAGAGAUCGGAAGGAACAUCUGUGGCGAAGGCGACUAUCUGGGCCAACACUGACACUGAGGCACGAAAGCGUGGGGAGCAAACAGGAUUAGAUACCCCUGUAGUCCCUGUCUCUUAUAC